RNAcentral lists this long non-coding RNA (246 nucleotides) under Lathyrus oleraceus (garden pea). Its description in RNAcentral is "Pisum sativum (pea) long non-coding RNA (PSAT_LNC037353)". The record is from RNAcentral. Lineage: Eukaryota; Viridiplantae; Streptophyta; Magnoliopsida; Fabales; Fabaceae.
GAAUUUUUGGAUGCAUUUCCAAUUUGUUUGAGAAUUUCCUUUCUGUUUGACCAAUUGUGGACUUUUUGUGAGUCAUGAUCUUAAAUGAUUUGUGAAAUUCUUGAUAUGUAUUGGAUGGACUUGAAAUUAAUUUGUUUGAGAAUUUCCUUUCUGUUUGACCAAUUGUGGACUUUUUGUGAGUCAUGAUCUUAAAUGAUUUGUGAAAUUCUUGAUAUGUAUUGGAUGGACUUGAAAUUUUGUGGAGUG